AUUGAACGCUGGCGGCAUGCCUUACACAUGCAAGUCGAACGGCAGCACGGGUGCUUGCACCUGGUGGCGAGUGGCGAACGGGUGAGUAAUACAUCGGAACAUGUCCUGUAGUGGGGGAUAGCCCGGCGAAAGCCGGAUUAAUACCGCAUACGAUCUACGGAUGAAAGCGGGGGACCUUCGGGCCUCGCGCUAUAGGGUUGGCCGAUGGCUGAUUAGCUAGUUGGUGGGGUAAAGGCCUACCAAGGCGACGAUCAGUGGCUGGUCUGAGAGGACGACCAGCCACACUGGGACUGAGACACGGCCCAGACUCCUACGGGAGGCAGCAGUGGGGAAUUUUGGACAAUGGGCGAAAGCCUGAUCCAGCAAUGCCGCGUGUGUGAAGAAGGCCUUCGGGUUGUAAAGCACUUUUGUCCGGAAAGAAAUCCUUGGCCCUAAUACGGUCGGGGGAUGACGGUACCGGAAGAAUAAGCACCGGCUAACUACGU
RNAcentral lists this ribosomal RNA (485 nucleotides) under uncultured bacterium. Its description in RNAcentral is "partial 16S ribosomal RNA". It matches the Rfam family "Bacterial small subunit ribosomal RNA", at positions 30 to 506 of the family's 1533-position model. The record is from RNAcentral.